Long non-coding RNA from Larimichthys crocea (large yellow croaker), 1970 nucleotides. RefSeq lists it as uncharacterized. The transcript is spliced from 3 exons. The record is from RefSeq and is a predicted model, not a curated record. NCBI's taxonomy places the organism in Eukaryota, Metazoa, Chordata, Actinopteri, Sciaenidae.
AUGACCCCCAGACCCCCAGAACACCCCUGACAAGAGGUAGGUUAAGGUUUUUUGAAAUAUUUUGUGGAACUUGGGGCCCGAGAAACGUUUGGAGUGGCCCUGCAGGACCGUGUUGUGUUGGAGAUGGUGAAGAGCCAGUGAUGAUGAUCACUCUUCCAAUGUUUGUGUUCCUGCUUUGCCAGUGUGCAUAUGUUUGAUAUGAGCAUGUGUGGCUGUCAGUCACUGGUAUCUUGGCUGUGCAGGCGUGAGCAUGUCAGACCUGCUGAACACGUGUGAGUCAGUGUGAGAAACACACAGUGAAAGACUCCAACCAUUUAAAGUAUUAGUACUGUAAUAUUACAAUAGUUCAUUACAAGUUAAGGUCCUGUACUCAAAGUUUGAAGUAUUACAGGAACAGUACUGUUUGUUCUACGUUUGUAGAGACAGUCAAAUAUGUCCACUGGGACUCUUUAUGCUCAACCUAAGAAGACAACGUUGUAAGAACUGUACACCAGAGAAAGAAAAAUGUCAACAGCCGAGGAUGAAAGCUACAUGCUUUCGUGACAAGGUGUGAAGGGGCGGAGCUGUCCAGCCAGGCGACUCAGAGGCCCCACCCCCUCCAGCUCUUCAUCCCACCUGGAAAAGAGGCUUACCUGCGUCAGGUUCCCUCCACACAAAAGACCAAAAGGCCAAGAUUGACGCACUUGAAGACUCGUGGCAGAAAACUGACCACACCAAAGGUUUGGAUGAAGUUCAGACUGAACGUUUCUUCAGGACCCUUCAGACUGCCGAUCAGAGGUCAGAGGUAAGGAGGCCUCAUUCACAGCACAUACUGCCAAGUGAACAUGAACAAGCAUCAACUGAAUGGUACUAAAUGAAAAUCAAGAGUGUCCGCUGAUGUUUGAAGACCACAUAGAAAAACAUCUGGUCAAUUUAAACAUUUAAAUAAAUGGGAUUUGUUGCCUUAUUGUACAUCAACAGCCUGUUACACCAGUAAUGUCUAAGUUUGUAAGUGUGGUUUGGUGUGUGUGGGAGGCUAUAAUGUAAUAAAAACAGGUAGGGCCAUAUCAGUUAAGAGGAGGUUUAAAUAAAAUCUAAAGUAUACAGUGCAGGUGCAAGUGGGUGUUUGAAUUACAGUGGAGGUCAAAAAACAAAAGUUUGAGUUUGUGUGUGACUUUAUAUUUGUCCUAUAACAUAUGAGAUAAUUGGGAUGGACAUGUGGGGGUGUUUUUUUAAUUAUCGUCGCUAUCGUCGCUGCUCUCGUGUGGUAUUGCUUUGUGAGCCUAAUUUGUUUCUGGAUCUAAUAAGAUAAAUGGUUCUCAGUGACCAGGUGGAAAACUGUCAACCGUUCAUGCAAGUUGGUUAUGCUGUUGGUUAUCACUGAUAUUAUGUUAUGAUUGGUCUUUGUCUGAUAGUUUAACAAACAAUAAUCCGCCACAGGCUCCAAGAAUUCACAACCCAGAAGAAAAAAAGAAGCAAAGAAAUAGAUGACGUGUCACUGCUGUCAGGUGAAAUCAUAUUUCUAAAAUGUUGACUCUUUAGGAAACAAAGCUUUGUUUCGUUUUUUUAAUGAUAACUGUCGAAGCUUUGUCAUUGUGAGUUUAAGAGGUCUGAAAAUGGUCUUGACCACCCAGAGCCCCAUUGAAAUAAUGAGAAAGAAAAAACACAUCAAGGCUUUCCCCCGAUGCUGAUGAUGUGAUGUUUUAUGUUAUUAUUAGAUGAAUCAAGUGUGCUUAGCAAAUAAAGAGCUCAGGUGUGGGCAGAGGAAGUAAAGAUGGAAAAUAUGCAGUGCUGGCACCUUUGUCAUCGAAAAAGACUCAACUUUUACAUAAAAAGGUUGCAAUGUAACUUAAUUGACAGUGAUAGCUUCCAGUAUGUUUAAUUGAGGAUUUGGGAUUUUUUAUUGACAGGGAUUUUAAAGCAAAAGGAAACUUUUUCUUCAGGUGGAGCUAGUGUGAAAAAAUGUGAGAGGGAAAUAAUAAAUGAGGCGA